RNAcentral lists this ribosomal RNA (397 nucleotides) under uncultured bacterium. RNAcentral describes it as "partial 16S ribosomal RNA". It matches the Rfam family "Bacterial small subunit ribosomal RNA", at positions 360 to 774 of the family's 1533-position model. The record is from RNAcentral.
AAUAUUGCGCAAUGGGGGGAACCCUGACGCAGCAACGCCGCGUGAGCGAUGAAGGCCUUCGGGUCGUAAAGCUCUGUCUUAAGGGAUGAUAAUGACAGUACCUUAAUAUGAAGCCCCGGCUAACUACGUGCCAGCAGCCGCGGAAAUACGUAGGGGGCGAGCGUUGUCCGGAAUUACUGGGUGUAAAGGGCCCGUAGGCGGUUAUUUAAGUCAGCUGUGAAAUUCCAGGGCGUAAACCUGGAAUUGAAAUUGAAACUGAACAACUUGAGAUAAGGAGAGGAGAGCGGAAUUCCUAGUGUAGCGGUGAAAUGCGUAGAUAUUAGGAGGAACACCAGUGGCGAAGGCGACUUUCUGGACUGUAACUGACGCUGAGGUACGAAAGCUAGGGGAGCAAACA